RNAcentral lists this transfer RNA (49 nucleotides) under Asotana magnifica. RNAcentral describes it as "tRNA-Gly". The record is from RNAcentral. Lineage: Eukaryota; Metazoa; Arthropoda; Malacostraca; Isopoda; Cymothoidae.
AGUAUAUUACUAUACAUUUGACUUCCAAUCAAAAGAAUAUUAGAUACUA